RNAcentral lists this ribosomal RNA (253 nucleotides) under uncultured bacterium. Its description in RNAcentral is "partial 16S ribosomal RNA". It matches the Rfam family "Bacterial small subunit ribosomal RNA", at positions 524 to 776 of the family's 1533-position model. The record is from RNAcentral.
UACGUAGGUGGCAAGCGUUAUCCGGAUUUAUUGGGCGUAAAGGGAACGCAGGCGGUCUUUUAAGUCUGAUGUGAAAGCCUUCGGCUUAACCGGAGUAGUGCAUUGGAAACUGGGAGACUUGAGUGCAGAAGAGGAGAGUGGAACUCCAUGUGUAGCGGUGAAAUGCGUAGAUAUAUGGAAGAACACCAGUGGCGAGAGCGGCUCCCUGGUCUGUAACUGACGCUGAGGUUCGAAAGCGUGGGUAGCAAACAGG